This 201-nucleotide long non-coding RNA is filed under the name Fukomys damarensis (Damara mole-rat). Its description in RNAcentral is "lncRNA (ENSFDAG00000030594.1)". The record is from RNAcentral. Lineage: Eukaryota; Metazoa; Chordata; Mammalia; Rodentia; Bathyergidae.
AACCUCCGGUCUUUCUCUUCUUCCUUCCAGACCUGUCACAAACAAGCUCGACCACUGGCCACUUCACAAGAUGUCAGGGGCACCCACGCCACUGAAAACUACUCCCACAGCACCAAAGUAGGGACCUGUGCACUGCUCCGCCAGCCCAUUACAGUCACAGUGUCAAGCAAGACACAACCCAACAAAAUAUAAGAAAUAGAC